GAACAUCGUUCAAACCCUGGUCUGCUUGGAUCCCAAAUUGUGCCUUACCUCACCCCCCUGCAGGGACUGGAAAACUCUACUGGCUGUCUUUGGUGAUAGCAACGGGGGCAACCACUGUUAUUGACCCUGUGGAUGGAGAGCCAUGACCUCCCAACGCAGCUCAGCUGCAAGUUACCACCCACGCAAGCUCGUCUUUACAAGCAGCCCUUCCACGCUGGCCUCCCUGCACCAGAGCCCGGAGAGGCAGCGUUUCCUGCCCUCUGGAGCCCCGGCAGCGCCCUUUCCGGGCUGCUGAGGUACGACUCGGUCAGAGACGUAGGUGAGCCUCUGUGAGCUGGGGACACAGGGGGCUUCCUUCCUCCUGGCGGAGUUACGCCGAGUCAAGUGCAGGACAUGGGGUUCUUGGCCCCGCUGCGGAGCUGGUACCAUGCUUGGACUGACUACCUGCUUCUCCUUUAGGUGCCUAGUGUGCAUUUCUGCACCCAGUCAUGCCACAGAGAGCCUGGUUCUACAGUGAAUUAAGCCCUGCAUCCCUCCACCAUUUAGACCCGAGAACUUGCCUUAUCAACCUACUCAGGCAGAAGUCCUAUAGAGAAGAGAGGAGGACCUCGCAAAAACCCUUGCAUUCCGCCAGAGACCAACAGCUCGAGGAAGUCUAUAGGAGCCUCCAGAACAAUUCAGCUCCCCUGGGAAAAGAGCCAGAUUGGCUGGAAGGCAGACACCUCAGUAUUUAAGGGCUCUACCAUGUUACUGUGCAGAAACCAGCUUCCGGGAAGAGCACCUGCUUGUAAGAGUGUGAGACCUUCUCCAGUGCCCCAGAAGCCCGCUCUGAUGAGUCCACAUGGCCGGCCAGAAGAACCAGGUUGCUGAUGCCUAGAAGUUUUUCUCAGCUGGUGAUGGAGAUUUGGUGAUUGGAGUCCACAGCUCCAUUGCCCCUCCAGUGAGAUAACGGAGGCCUGUGUUCCAUACCAUUUUCCAGAGUUUCCCUUGAGAACUGAGUUCUUGUCACCCCUGUGGUAGCUGGCUU
This is a long non-coding RNA of Mustela erminea (ermine), 1027 nucleotides long. RefSeq lists it as uncharacterized. The transcript is spliced from 3 exons. Lineage: Eukaryota; Metazoa; Chordata; Mammalia; Carnivora; Mustelidae. The record is from RefSeq and is a predicted model, not a curated record.